AGGGUUCGAUUCUGGCUCAGGAUGAACGCUAGCUACAGGCUUAGCACAUGCAAGUCGAGGGGCAGCGAGAGUGUAGCAAUACACUUGUCGGCGACCGGCGCACGGGUGAGUAACGCGUAUCCAACCUGGCCCUUAGUAGGGGAUAGCCCGGCGAAAGUCGGAUUAAUACCCUAUGUUUUCCCAUGAGAGCAUUUGAAAGGGAACAACGAUUUAUCGCUAGGGGAUGGGGAUGCGUCCGAUUAGGCAGCAGGCGGGGUGACGGCCCACCUGGCCGACGAUCGGUAGGGGUUCUGAGAGGAAGGUCCCCCACACUGGUACUGAGACACGGACCAGACUCCUACGGGAGGCAGCAGUGAGGAAUAUUGGUCAAUGGGCGCGAGCCUGAACCAGCCAAGUAGCGUGAGGGACGACGGCCCUACGGGUUGUAAACCUCUUUUGCCGGGGAAUAAAGUGCGGGACGCGUCCCGUUUUGUAUGUACCCGGAGAAUAAGGACCGGCUAAUUCCGUGCCAGCCGCGGC
Molecule: ribosomal RNA, 519 nt
Filed under: uncultured bacterium
Lineage: Bacteria
Description: bacterial SSU rRNA
Rfam family: Bacterial small subunit ribosomal RNA
Source: RNAcentral